This 682-nucleotide ribosomal RNA is filed under the name Chaenotheca gracilenta. Its description in RNAcentral is "mitochondrial SSU rRNA". It matches the Rfam family "Bacterial small subunit ribosomal RNA", at positions 389 to 1187 of the family's 1533-position model. Lineage: Eukaryota; Fungi; Ascomycota; Coniocybomycetes; Coniocybales; Coniocybaceae. The record is from RNAcentral.
CAGCAACUUGGAGGAAUGUAUAUUGACUACGUCAAAUAAAGUUCUAGUAGAAUAAUGAUAAUGACAAUUUUCUAUUAUAUGUCUUGACCAAAUCAUGUGCCAGCAGUCGCGGUAAUACAUGGAAGACAAGUGUUAUUCAUCUUUAAUAGGUUUAAAGGGUACCUAGACGGUACUUUUAGCCCAAAACAGGGAACAGAUUUACUAGAGUUUGAAUGUGAGAAGGAGAGUAUUUUUAGUGUAGAGAUAAAAUUCUGUCAUACUUAAAGGACUGAUAAUGGCGAAAGCAGCCUUCUAUGUAUAAACUGACGUUGAGGGACGAAGGCUUGGGGAGCGAUAAGGAUUAGAUACCCUAGUAGUCUAAGCAGAGAAUUAUGAAUGUCACAUGUUAGAUUUAUUUAGCAUGUAAAUAAAAGUGUAAGCAUUCCACCUCAAGAGUAAUGUGGCAACGCAGGAACUGAAAUCAUUAGGCCGUUUCUGAAACCAGUAGUGAAGUAUGUUAUUUAAUUCGAUGACCCGCGAAGAAUCUUACCACAAAUUGUAUAUUUACAAGCGCUGCACGGCUGUCUUUAGUUAAUGUCGUGAGACUUUGGUUACUCCUAGGAAUUAAUGUAAACCCUUGCUUUAUUUAAUUUUUAUAAAGUAUUCAACCGCUACAUUGGUUAUGAUAAAAGGGAUUAAGACA